Molecule: ribosomal RNA, 253 nt
Filed under: uncultured bacterium
Lineage: Bacteria
Description: partial 16S ribosomal RNA
Rfam family: Bacterial small subunit ribosomal RNA
Source: RNAcentral
UACGUAGGGGGCAAGCGUUGUCCGGAAUUAUUGGGCGUAAAGAGCGCGUAGGCGGUCCGAUAAGUCGGCUGUGAAAGUCAGGGGCUCAACCCUUGAAAGCCGGCCGAUACUGUCGGACUAGAGGCCGGGAGAGGCGAGUGGAAUUCCCAGUGUAGCGGUGAAAUGCGUAGAUAUUGGGAGGAACACCAGUGGCGAAGGCGGCUCGCUGGACCGGUUCUGACGCUGAGGCGCGAAAGCGUGGGGAGCAAACGGG